UACGGGGGGGGCAAGCGUUGUUCGGAAUUACUGGGCGUAAAGGGCGCGUAGGCGGCCCGCUUAGUCGGACGUGAAAUCCCCGGGCUCAACCCGGGAACUGCGUCCGAGACUGGAAGGCUCGAAUCCGGGAGAGGGAUGUGGAAUUCCAGGUGUAGCGGUGAAAUGCGUAGAUAUCUGGAGGAACAUCGGUGGCGAAGGCGGCAUCCUGGACCGGUAUUGACGCUGAGGCGCGAAAGUCAGGGGAGCAACCGGG
This 253-nucleotide ribosomal RNA is filed under the name uncultured bacterium. RNAcentral's name for it is "partial 16S ribosomal RNA". It matches the Rfam family "Bacterial small subunit ribosomal RNA", at positions 524 to 776 of the family's 1533-position model. The record is from RNAcentral.